CAUUUGAAACGAACGAACGAACAAACUAGGGAGUAUAUUUUGGCCACACGUACAUCGUUCGAUGGGAACGGGCCGUCCCGUCCCAUCUUUGGCACGUACGUCACCACAAGAUCCUACAGAAGAAGACAACCAGCAGAACUUUCUCCAGACCCCUUGUCAGAUCACAGACACGAAUCUCAACCAGAUCGGGUCCUUUAUCUCCCAGAGCCAUUCCCCGCCACUCCCAACUGCCGCAACGGAUAAUAAGCUUAAGCAAGCGCAAGAACACACACACUGAUAAUCGCUGACACGGAAGAAGAAUACGAAAACAAGAGGGGAAUACAAAAGACUUACAAAGAUGCAGGCUUUCCUCUCUUCUUCGUCGAUCCUCGCGAACCCAUGCCCCAGAUCCUUGUUCCCGCGUCCAUCCACACAAUCCCAGCUUCUCCUCUCUUCCGUUUCUGGCGCGAGGACGAAUGCUGCUG
RNAcentral lists this long non-coding RNA (464 nucleotides) under Brachypodium distachyon (stiff brome). RNAcentral describes it as "long non-coding RNA (BDIS_LNC003653)". The record is from RNAcentral. Lineage: Eukaryota; Viridiplantae; Streptophyta; Magnoliopsida; Poales; Poaceae.